UAGGGAAUCUUCGGCAAUGUGGGGAACCCUGACCGAGCAACGCCGCGUGAGUGAAGAAGGUUUUCGGAUCGUAAAGCUCUGUUGUUAAGGAAGAACGAGUGUGAGAAUGGAAAGUUCAUACUGUGACGGUACUUAACCAGAAAGGGACGGCUAACUACGUGCCAGCAGCCGCGGUAAUACGUAGGUCCCGAGCGUUGUCCGGAUUUAUUGGGCGUAAAGCGAGCGCAGGCGGUUAGAUAAGUCUGAUGUGAAAGCCCCCGGCUCAACCGGGGAGGGUCAUUGGAAACUGGUUGACUUGAGUGCAGAAGAGGAGAGUGGAAUUCCAUGUGUAGCGGUGAAAUGCGUAGAUAUAUGGAGGAACACCAGUGGCGAAGGCGACUCUCUGGUCUGUAACUGACGCUGAGGUUCGAAAGCGUGGGUAGCAAACAGG
RNAcentral lists this ribosomal RNA (430 nucleotides) under Bacteroidota bacterium. RNAcentral describes it as "Bacteroidetes bacterium partial 16S ribosomal RNA". It matches the Rfam family "Bacterial small subunit ribosomal RNA", at positions 355 to 776 of the family's 1533-position model. Lineage: Bacteria; Pseudomonadati; Bacteroidota. The record is from RNAcentral.